AUUCAAUUGUUCAAUCGACAAAAUGAACGGAAAAGUUGUUCUCAUUGCUGUGCUUGCUCUUUCAUGUCUUAUUGCUACAGUUGUGUGUGAACCUAACCCACAACCGCGGCCCGAUACUAUUUCAGUGACACCCACCGACACCGCGGGGAAUGCAAAUAGUCAAAAAACUGAUGCUGGUCAAACUCAAAGCAAGAAACGCGGGUUUAUGAAUUUUAGAUCAUCAUAGGAUGGGCAAUGGCGAUCAUCCAAUACUUUUUAAAAAGCAAUAAACAUUUGUGAAGGCA
Colias croceus (clouded yellow) is the source of this 284-nucleotide long non-coding RNA. RefSeq lists it as uncharacterized. The record is from RefSeq and is a predicted model, not a curated record. NCBI's taxonomy places the organism in Eukaryota, Metazoa, Arthropoda, Insecta, Lepidoptera, Pieridae. The transcript has 4 exons.